This 497-nucleotide ribosomal RNA is filed under the name uncultured bacterium. RNAcentral describes it as "partial 16S ribosomal RNA". It matches the Rfam family "Bacterial small subunit ribosomal RNA", at positions 28 to 507 of the family's 1533-position model. The record is from RNAcentral.
GAUGAACGCUGGCGGCGUGCCUAAUACAUGCAAGUCGAGCGAACAGACGAGGAGCUUGCUCCUCUGACGUUAGCGGCGGACGGGUGAGUAACACGUGGAUAACCUACCUAUAAGACUGGGAUAACUUCGGGAAACCGGAGCUAAUACCGGAUAAUAUAUUGAACCGCAUGGUUCAAUAGUGAAAGACGGUUUUGCUGUCACUUAUAGAUGGAUCCGCGCCGCAUUAGCUAGUUGGUAAGGUAACGGCUUACCAGGGCAACGAUGCGUAGCCGACCUGAGAGGGUGAUCGGCUACACUGGAACUGAGACACGGUCCAGACUCCUACGGGAGGCAGCAGUAGGGAAUCUUCCGCAAUGGGCGAAAGCCUGACGGAGCAACGCCGCGUGAGUGAUGAAGGUCUUCGGAUCGUAAAACUCUGUUAUUAGGGAAGAACAAAUGUGUAAGUAACUAUGCACGUCUUGACGGUACCUAAUCAGAAAGCCACGGCUAACUACGUG